GCUUUCGUCGUGUAAUGGUCAGCACACUCGGCGCAUAUUCGAGAGGACCAAGGUUCGAGUCCCGGCGACGGUA
Molecule: transfer RNA, 73 nt
Filed under: Stegodyphus mimosarum
Lineage: Eukaryota; Metazoa; Arthropoda; Arachnida; Araneae; Eresidae
Rfam family: tRNA
About the family: Transfer RNA (tRNA) molecules are approximately 80 nucleotides in length. Their secondary structure includes four short double-helical elements and three loops (D, anti-codon, and T loops).
Source: Rfam by way of RNAcentral